Molecule: long non-coding RNA, 464 nt
Organism: Anneissia japonica
Lineage: Eukaryota; Metazoa; Echinodermata; Crinoidea; Comatulida; Comatulidae
Exons: 2
Source: RefSeq, a predicted model, not a curated record
UUAGCAUGGAUAGUCAGAAAGCAUGUGAUUGGGCAGUAUCCUGUCUCCAUGGCGAGGAAUCACCAUUUUCAGGAUAUGAAGAUGGAGAUGUACCAAAAUUAAGUGUCAUUCAAAUUAAGGAGUGUGAAAGACGAUGAUUCAGUAGAGAAAAUGUGAUCUUAUACUGAUUAUUGAAGGUAGUUAGCCGAAGCCCCUUUUUGUAGUAGUACUUUUUUAUAACUUGGUUUGUUGAAACAAUUCUGAGUUAACCUUUGCAUAUAGGAAACCCCCCUUACCAUGAACCUGGUUACUGGCCUGAAUUUCUACAAAAAUUUAGGCCUAUAAUUAUAAUUAGUGUAGAUUUAUUUUUGUAUAGCGCAUAAUGCAUACAGCCUCUAUGCACUUCACAUUUAAAGAAAUAAGCCAGAGUAAAAAAAAAACAUGAUUAAAAAUAAUGAAGAUUUGUAACUAGUGGAAGUUUCAUG